This 476-nucleotide ribosomal RNA is filed under the name uncultured bacterium. RNAcentral's name for it is "bacterial SSU rRNA". It matches the Rfam family "Bacterial small subunit ribosomal RNA", at positions 43 to 517 of the family's 1533-position model. The record is from RNAcentral.
CGGGCCUAACACAUGCAAGUCGCACGAGAAAGCGCCCUCGGGCCCGAGUAAAGUGGCGGACGGGUGAGUAACGCGUAGGCAACCUGCCCUUGAGCGGGGGAUAACUGCUGGAAACGGCAGCUAAUACCGCAUGACGUCCACGUGCCGCAUGGCUUGUGGAUCAAAGCUUUCGAGCGCUCAAGGAAGGGCCUGCGUCGGAUUAGUUUGUUGGUGGGGUAACGGCCCACCAAGACAAUAAUCCGUAGCUGGUCUGAGAGGACGACCAGCCACACUGGGACUGAGACACGGCCCAGACUCCUGCGGGAGGCAGCAGUGGGGAAUCUUGCGCAAUGGAGGAAACUCUGACGCAGCUACGCCGCGUGCAGGAAGACACCCCUCAGGGGCGUAAACUGCUUUUAUGCCGGAAGAAAACUCUGCUUUGCAGGGCAUGACGGUACGGCAGGAAUAAGCACCGGCUAACUCCGUGCCAGCAGCCG